GACGAACGCUGGCGGCGUGCCUAAUACAUGCAAGUUGAGCGCUGAAGGUUGGUACUUGUACCAACUGGAUGAGCAGCGAACGGGUGAGUAACGCGUGGGGAAUCUGCCUUUGAGCGGGGGACAACAUUUGGAAACGAAUGCUAAUACCGCAUAAAGACUUUAAACACAAGUUUUAAGUUUGAAAGAUGCAAUUGCAUCACUCAAAGAUGAUCCCGCGUUGUAUUAGCUAGUUGGUGAGGUAAAGGCUCACCAAGGCGAUGAUACAUAGCCGACCUGAGAGGGUGAUCGGCCACAUUGGGACUGAGACACGGCCCAAACUCCUACGGGAGGCAGCAGUAGGGAAUCUUCGGCAAUGGACGAAAGUCUGACCGAGCAACGCCGCGUGAGUGAAGAAGGGUUUCGGAUCGUAAAACUCUGUUGGUAGAGAAGAACGUUGGUGAGAGUGGAAAGCUCAUCAAGUGACGGUAACUACCCAGAAAGGGACGGCUAACUACGUG
RNAcentral lists this ribosomal RNA (497 nucleotides) under uncultured bacterium. Its description in RNAcentral is "partial 16S ribosomal RNA". It matches the Rfam family "Bacterial small subunit ribosomal RNA", at positions 28 to 507 of the family's 1533-position model. The record is from RNAcentral.